Molecule: ribosomal RNA, 472 nt
Filed under: uncultured bacterium
Lineage: Bacteria
Description: partial 16S ribosomal RNA
Rfam family: Bacterial small subunit ribosomal RNA
Source: RNAcentral
GACGAACGCUGGCGGCGUGCUUAACACAUGCAAGUCGAACGAUGAACCCGGAGCUUGCUCUGGGGGAUUAGUGGCGAACGGGUGAGUAACACGUGAGUAACCUGCCCUGGACUCUGGGAUAAGCGUUGGAAACGACGUCUAAUACCGGAUAGGACCUUGGAUCGCAUGAUCUGGGGUGGAAAGUUUUUUCGGUCGGGGAUGGACUCGCGGCCUAUCAGCUUGUUGGUGAGGUAAUGGCUCACCAAGGCGUCGACGGGUAGCCGGCCUGAGAGGGUGACCGGCCAUACUGGGACGGAGACACGGCCCAGACUCCUACGGGAGGCAGCAGGGGGGAAUAUUGCACAAUGGGCGAAAGCCUGAUGCAGCAACGCCGCGUGCGGGAUGACGGCCGUCGGGUUGUAAACCGCUUUUAGUAGGGAAGAAGGGCUUCGGCUUGACGGUACCUGCAGAAAAAGGACCGGCUAACUACGUG